UACAGAGGGGGCAAGCGUUGUUCGGAAUUACUGGGCGUAAAGGGCGCGUAGGCGGCCGCCUAAGUCAGACGUGAAAUCCCUCGGCUCAACCGGGGAACUGCGUCUGAUACUGGGUGGCUUGAAUCCGGGAGAGGGAUGCGGAAUUCCAGGUGUAGCGGUGAAAUGCGUAGAUAUCGGGAGGAACACCAGUGGCGAAGGCGACUACCUGGCCCAUUCUUGACGCUGAGGCGCGAAAGCUAGGGGAGCGAACGGG
Molecule: ribosomal RNA, 253 nt
Filed under: uncultured bacterium
Lineage: Bacteria
Description: partial 16S ribosomal RNA
Rfam family: Bacterial small subunit ribosomal RNA
Source: RNAcentral